UACGUAGGGUGCUAGCGUUGUCCGGAUUUAUUGGGCGUAAAGAGCUCGUAGGCGGCCUGUUGCGUCCGCUGUGAAAGCCCGGGGCUUAACCCCGGGUCGGCAGUGGAUACGGGCAGGCUAGAGGUAGGUAGGGGAGAAUGGAAUUCCCGGUGUAGCGGUGAAAUGCGCAGAUAUCAGGAGGAACACCGGUGGCGAAGGCGGUCUGCUGGGCAGUUGCUGACACUGAGGCGCGACAGCGUGGGGAGCAAACAGG
RNAcentral lists this ribosomal RNA (253 nucleotides) under uncultured bacterium. Its description in RNAcentral is "partial 16S ribosomal RNA". It matches the Rfam family "Bacterial small subunit ribosomal RNA", at positions 524 to 776 of the family's 1533-position model. The record is from RNAcentral.